UGGGGAAUAUUGGGCAAUGGACGAAAGUCUGACCCAGCGACGCCGCGUGCGGGAUGAAGGCCUUCGGGUUGUAAACCGCUUUCAGCAGGGAAGAAGCGAAAGUGACGGUACCUGCAGAAGAAGCACCGGCUAACUAUGUGCCAGCAGCCGCGGUAAUACAUAGGGUGCAAGCGUUGUCCGGAAUUAUUGGGCGUAAAGAGCUCGUAGGUGGUUUGCUACGUCGGAUGUGAAACUCUGGGGCUCAACCCCAGACCUGCAUCCGAUACGGGCAAGCUUGAGUUUGGUAGGGGAGACUGGAAUUCCUGGUGUAGCGGUGGAAUGCGCAGAUAUCAGGAGGAACACCAAUGGCGAAGGCAGCCCCCUGGGAUAACACUGACGCUCAUGCACGAAAGCGUGGGGAGCAAAUAGG
This 409-nucleotide ribosomal RNA is filed under the name uncultured bacterium. RNAcentral's name for it is "bacterial SSU rRNA". It matches the Rfam family "Bacterial small subunit ribosomal RNA", at positions 355 to 776 of the family's 1533-position model. The record is from RNAcentral.